Long non-coding RNA from Athalia rosae (coleseed sawfly), 356 nucleotides. RefSeq lists it as uncharacterized. Lineage: Eukaryota; Metazoa; Arthropoda; Insecta; Hymenoptera; Athaliidae. The transcript is spliced from 2 exons. The record is from RefSeq and is a predicted model, not a curated record.
CCUGUCGUUUCAUGCGCGAUGCGCAGGCACUCUGCCUGUCUGCUCGAUACAUUUCAGUGCUGCUCGUAUCUGAUGGUAUCUGUUCAUUGAUUGCGGUGUUCGCGGCGCCGUUCAAAAUUUCCGUGUCGAGAUUAAAAAUUUUCAAAGGCACUUAUCCUAGAUCUGUCGAUUCGUAGACCGGUUGGAAGGAGGGAAUAUCACGUUACUCACUUCUCGUGCUCAGUAUAAGAUUCGAUGCCAUCCUUAGCUCCACAAGUUUCUUGGCUUGCUCACCCAAUACAUCUUCCAGCGAUUGAACCAUGUUUACCGAAAUACUGAGUCAGCGUUUCGUCCGUUUCAUCAGUAAAUCAAAUUGA